GGGGAUUUCGCUCAGCGGUAGAGCGCUUGCCUAGCAAGCACAAGGCCCUGGGUUCGGUCCCCAGCUCCG
Non-coding RNA from Rattus norvegicus (Norway rat), 69 nucleotides. The record is from Rfam. NCBI's taxonomy places the organism in Eukaryota, Metazoa, Chordata, Mammalia, Rodentia, Muridae.